CUACGGGGGGCUGCAGCUGCGAAACUUUCGCAAUUCACGCAAGUGUGACGAAGGGACUCAGAGUGCUUUCACUUCGGUGGAAGCUUUUACCAAGUCUAGAUCGCUUGGAGAAUAAGUGGUGGGUAAGACGGGUGCCAGCCGCCGCGGUAAUACCCGCGCCACGAGUGGUGAUCGUUUUUAUUGGGUUUAGAGCGUUCGUAGCCGGUUUGGUAAGUUCUUAAUGAAAUCUGGCAGCUAACUGUCAGGCUUGUUAGGGAUACUACCAGACUUGAGACCGGGAGAGGCUAAGGGUAUUAUCGGAGUAGGGGUAAAAUCCUGUAAUUCCGAUAAGACCACCUGUGGCGAAGGCGCUUAGCUAGAACGGAUCUGACGGUGAGGGACGAAAGCCAGGGGAGCGAAGGGGAUUAGAUACCCGCGUAGUC
Molecule: ribosomal RNA, 422 nt
Filed under: uncultured archaeon
Lineage: Archaea
Description: partial 16S ribosomal RNA
Rfam family: Archaeal small subunit ribosomal RNA
Source: RNAcentral